UCAGGGGGUGAAUUUCCGCUUGGCGUCCUCGGCAGGCUUCAGAGUGUUUCAUAAUGGAAACCAGAAGGGGUUUGACACUCCGGAGGAAACUGAAUCCAACAUCCAAAGAUAUAUCCUGAAAACUUCAGCUGCCACUUGAUAUCUGUGGCUCAGACGUGUGUAUUUCUAUUCGUUUAGCCUGCUGUUUGCAAGUCCGCUAGGCUUUGCUAUAAACACAUGUACAAGUUGCUUGCUAUCAGUUGUCUAUAAAGUGUGUUGUUAUGAUGCCCACAGGACUGGUUGUAUAUUAGUGAGGCUGAUAUCCUAUAUGCACUAUCCUUAAUGUACUGUAGCAUUGUGUAGCACAAUAUCCUGAAUAUCUCAUGUGGCAAGCAGAAUUUGUUUGUAUAGCACUAUGCAAACAUCUUAGCUUAAUGUUGGCAAUCCUUUUUUGCACUUUUUUAAAAAACUGUUUUUACUCAUAAGGGCGGCAUAAUGGUGGUGGGUGAAUGUAUACACAUUUUACAUUUGCGUUGUCGCCAUACAGUUUGUAUGUUUGCAUGUUGCAUGUUCCGCGUGGGAUUCCUCCAGUAUUUCCGGUUUCCUCCCACAGUCCAAAGACAUGCAGGUAGGCUAAUUGGAGACUCUAAAUUGCCCAUGUGUGCCCUGCGAUUACUUCUCACCCCAUGCAUGCUGGGAUAGGCUCCAGCACCCCCCUGUGACCCUGACCAGGAUGUUGAUGGUUGUGUCGGUGUUGAUGGAUGUUCAGUCAUAAUGUCACAUAACAGAGGAGCUGGAUGGAGCACCUUUUCCUUUCUGAUCCCUGCAGUAUUUGAUGGGGAAAAGGCUCCACCACCACACACAUCCACCGACGUCCUGGACUGUCAAGCGUUGAGUGAACUGGCAGAAGGCUGUGGUGGAGACUGUAACCUAAUGCAACUACAAUGCCCAUAUUUUGUUUGUCUUCUGCUUUGUGACGCACAACCAAGGAUUGAAACAGAAAACCUUCUUCUGUCUGAAGAGCCAAGUUACUAUCCUUAUCAUUGAUGAUGAGAGCCUCAGGCUUUUGUGAAUACCCACCCCCCCCCACCCCCCUUCACCCCACCCUCCCUUGUAUCUGGUCCUGUUCAUGUACCUCCUCAAAUUCGCCGUGAUUGUCACUGAUGCUUCCAUGUGAAAGUCAGACUGCCCCCCCCCCCCCAAAUAAAGCCUCUCGAGUUUCCCUCACAAUCACCUCUAUUGUUUCAGUCCUUAACAGGAGGGGGGGGGGGCAUCUGGAAGGAACAGAGCAAUGAGGUUUAAUGUGGACCCCAGAGUGCAGUUUGGUAAAUAUCCAGAGAGAGAAAGGCCAUAAAUUGGUUAAGUAACAGCCUAUUUUCACAAAUCUCUCUUCAAUAGUUGGCUAGAAGUCAAAACAGGUUACUCAGUCUGUUUCUCCAGUAUUUUUAUGUUUUAAUGGCAUAAACAUGAAUAUGAUAUAUAUGUUCCUUGUGAAGCUAUCUCUGAACAGACAAUGUGUCAGCUGAAAUCCAUGGUGUACCAAGGUUACGCUGGUUACGCAAUUUUAUUUGUAUUUCCCAACCUCAAAUUUAGUCAAGUUGUGCAGCUGAUUCCACAGAAAAUCUGAGUUACACUUUGUUCUGACUUACAAGCUGCCACGUAAGUUUAUGAAAGAAAAAAGCCCAUGUAUGUUCCAGAAGAGGGACUCUGCAAUAAAACAGUUGUAAAAUUGUACCUGUGGACAUGCUGUAUAACUGUACUCAAAGUCAAACUGUAAAACUGUACGCAAAGUCAUACUGUAACACUGUACUCAUGAUCAUCCUGUAAAACUGUACUCAAAGUCAUACUGUAAAACUGUACUCAAAGUCAUGCUGUAUAACUACUCAAAAUCAUGCUGUAAAACUGUACUCAUGGUCAUUCUGUAAAACUGUACUCAAAGUCAUGCUGUAUAACUGUACUCAAAGUCAUGCUGUAAAACUGUACUCAUGGUCAUUCUGUAAAACUAUACUCAAAGUCAUACUGUAAAACUGUACUCAUGGUCAUUCUGUAAAACUGUACUCAAAGUCAUAGUGUAAAACUGUACUCAUGGUCAUACUGUAAAACUGUACUCAUGGCCAUACUGUAAAACUGGACUCAUGGUCAUACUGUAAAACUGUACUCAAAGUCAUACUAUAAAACUGUACUGUACGCUAUAGUUAUAACUGCUUAAUGAUAAAAGCUGCAGUUGAGCAUGUUUUACCAUCUGAUAUUCAACUGCAAGCUUUUCACAUUUUCUGUAGCACCUGUUGUUACGUCCCAGGGCCGUAACACCUGUCAUGGAUAUGUAAUGCGAUAUAUGAGUCCUGCAUUAUUAGACAUUUUGUGGUCAAUUAAAUCUAAAUUCAGCACAGUUCAGUAAAUUGAAAAAUGACCAAGAUGUUCUAUGAGGAUUUUUUCAUCAAUAAAUUGAAACCCAGUUAAUUUCCUGAUUUGACAGAAUUGAAAUUAAUUGACUUCAAACACUGGUCCU
Molecule: long non-coding RNA, 2488 nt
Organism: Anguilla rostrata (American eel)
Lineage: Eukaryota; Metazoa; Chordata; Actinopteri; Anguilliformes; Anguillidae
Exons: 3
Source: RefSeq, a predicted model, not a curated record